RNAcentral lists this long non-coding RNA (755 nucleotides) under Dasypus novemcinctus (nine-banded armadillo). RNAcentral describes it as "lncRNA (ENSDNOG00000051143.1)". Lineage: Eukaryota; Metazoa; Chordata; Mammalia; Cingulata; Dasypodidae. The record is from RNAcentral.
GGGUGAGCGCUGGCCAAAAGGUAAAGCAGGCCCUGUGCCCGCAGAGAACUACUUUUGGGAGAGACAGGGGAGGCUUCCCAAAGAAAGUGACUUUGGGUUUUGGGCAGACGGUUUCCUUGAGAGAAUAUUUUGAGUCAGCAGCCACUGGCCCGUGAACAGGGGAGGAGGGCGUGUGUUCAGGCUGCUCAGCUCCCAAAAUAACCCCGAUCCGAGGGCGGACAGCCCGGCAAGCCGCAGGAGCCGCCGCCAUGUGCUGCCCGGCCCGGCCGGGCUCUUUUGACCUUGGAGCGGUCCUUGCCUGGCCGGUGCCCCCCCAGAGGUAGGAGGGGCGAGGAGGAAGCCCAGGAUGCGGCUCCAGCCCCCGCAGUGCAGCACCAGGACUCCAUGGACAGCGCUCCAGCCUCUGCGUAUCAGCCUGUGGUUAUCAGAUCCUUCGACCUCAGCCACCCAAUCCCUUCCCAGCACCCACCUCCAUCCAUCCAUCAGCACCUCAUCCCCAGAGACAGCUGGGCCCCAGCCCUCCGUGGUCAGAGGUGAAGCCUGAGGACUCACCUGUUAGCCUGUUGUGUGUGGCCAGGGCACAGACCAAAGCUCUGAUCAAAUUCCGCCUCUCAGUGAGAGCUGAGUACCCUACUGAAAAUUGUCAUUCCACCCCAGUGCUCGCUAGACUUGUUUCCUGGUUUAUAAAUAAACUAUAGUUUACUUAGUUAACUAAUUUUGUUUAUUGUUCUCACACACACACAUAUGAAUGCCAG